GUACCUUAUCAGUUAGAGGAGAUGGCCAGUCAGCCGUGUCUAUUGGAGCAACAGAAGGAGGAGUGCUUGAUGCUGCUGCUGCAUCACUGCUAGGUUGUGCUGCUGAUGUGGAGGCGACAGGAGGAUUUGCAACGGUGGGACUGAGAAACCUCAGCAGCGCAUCAGAAGACAGAAGAGGAGUAUGUGACACCAGUCUAAUAAUAAACACAUGAUUU
Long non-coding RNA from Monopterus albus (swamp eel), 215 nucleotides. RefSeq lists it as uncharacterized. The transcript is spliced from 2 exons. Lineage: Eukaryota; Metazoa; Chordata; Actinopteri; Synbranchiformes; Synbranchidae. The record is from RefSeq and is a predicted model, not a curated record.